This 893-nucleotide ribosomal RNA is filed under the name uncultured Caryophanon sp. Its description in RNAcentral is "bacterial SSU rRNA". It matches the Rfam family "Bacterial small subunit ribosomal RNA", at positions 44 to 916 of the family's 1533-position model. The record is from RNAcentral. Lineage: Bacteria; Bacillati; Bacillota; Bacilli; Caryophanales; Caryophanaceae.
GUGCCUAAUACAUGCAAGUCGAGCGAACAGAUAAGGAGCUUGCUCCUUUGACGUUAGCGGCGGACGGGUGAGUAACACGUGGGUAACCUGCCCUAUAGUUUGGGAUAACUCCGGGAAACCGGGGCUAAUACCGAAUAAGUGAUUUCUUCGCAUGAAGUGAAUCUGGAAAGACGGUUUCGGCUGUCGCUAUAGGAUGGACCCGCGGCGCAUUAGCUAGUUGGUGAGGUAACGGCUCACCAAGGCAACGAUGCGUAGCCGACCUGAGAGGGUGAUCGGCCACACUGGGACUGAGACACGGUCCAGACUCCUACGGGAGGCAGCAGUAGGGAAUCUUCCACAAUGGACGAAAGUCUGAUGGAGCAACGCCGCGUGAGUGAAGAAGGAUUUCGGUUCGUAAAACUCUGUUGCAAGGGAAGAACAAGUAGCGUAGUAACUGGCGCUACCUUGACGGUACCUUGUUAGAAAGCCACGGCUAACUACGUGCCAGCAGCCGCGGUAAUACGUAGGUGGCAAGCGUUGUCCGGAAUUAUUGGGCGUAAAGCGCGCGCAGGUGGUUCUUUAAGUCUGAUGUGAAAGCCCCCGGCUCAACCGGGGAGGGUCAUUGGAAACUGGGGAACUUGAGUGCAGAAGAGGAUAGUGGAAUUCCAAGUGUAGCGGUGAAAUGCGUAGAGAUUUGGAGGAACACCAGUGGCGAAGGCGACUGUCUGGUCUGUAACUGACACUGAGGCGCGAAAGCGUGGGGAGCAAACAGGAUUAGAUACCCUGGUAGUCCACGCCGUAAACGAUGAGUGCUAAGUGUUGGGGGGUUUCCGCCCCUCAGUGCUGCAGCUAACGCAUUAAGCACUCCGCCUGGGGAGUACGGUCGCAAGACUGAAACUCAAAUGAAUUGACGG